This is a long non-coding RNA of Populus trichocarpa (black cottonwood), 571 nucleotides long. RefSeq lists it as uncharacterized. The record is from RefSeq and is a predicted model, not a curated record. The transcript has 3 exons. NCBI's taxonomy places the organism in Eukaryota, Viridiplantae, Streptophyta, Magnoliopsida, Malpighiales, Salicaceae.
UCCAGCAGCAAUGGAUUUUUUUGGAGAGAGAGGGAGCAUCUCUCCUUCAUUUUUUCAAAAUUUCCUUAGGAAAUUCACUAAAAUGGAGAGAUUAAGUGAAAUGAUGGAAGAAAAGAGUGAAAGGAAGGAUCUAUUGGCAAGGGUUUAUAAGAAAUAAGAGAGAGAAAGUGGCAGCUAGAGAGAGAAACAAGAAUUUGAAGAGGGAGAAGAAGAAGAAGGUUGGAAACCUUGGAAUUAUUGUUCAAGCAUGAUGGCUGUGGUUCUGCCUUUUCCCUUGGUUUUGUUGUUCCUCUUUCAUGUAUCCUGGCUUCGAUGCGAGCUUGGGCGUCUUUUUGUUGUUCUUCACAGCUGGCAGUUGAGGUCCUUUUUGCUGGUCAUGACUAUGCCUCUUUCACCACUGUUUUCUUGCCAGCUCUAAGAACAAACAUAUUAGUGAAUUUCUGACCAGCAUUCUUACAGAAAAGGAUCAACGUAGGCAAGGUUGGGUGGUUAGUGUUCCUGCAAAAGAAAAAGGUCGUGAGAAGCUACGUGGGAAGUGCAAGGAAUGGAUUUAGAAAGUUCUUACUGUUUG